GACGAACGCUGGCGGCGUGCUUAACACAUGCAAGUCGAACGAAGAGCGAUGGAAGCUUGCUUCUAUCAAUCUUAGUGGCGAACGGGUGAGUAACGCGUAAUCAACCUGUCCUUCAGAGGGGGACAACAGUUGGAAACGACUGCUAAUACCGCAUACGAUCUAAUCUCGGCAUCGAGGAGAGAUGAAAGGUGGCCUCUACAGGUAAGCUAUCACUGAAGGUGGGGAUUGCGUCUGAUUAGCAGGUUGGCGGGGUAACGGCCCACCAAGGCGAUGAUCAGUAGCCGGUCUGCGAGGAUGGACGGCCACCUUGGGACGGAGACACGGCCCAGACUCCUACGGGAGGCAGCAGUAGGGCAUCUUCCGCAAUGGGCGAAAGUCUGACGGAGCAACGCCGCGUGAGUGAUGACGGCCUUCGGGUUGUAAAGCUCUGUUAUUCGGGACGAAAGGCCUUCUUGCGAACAGUUAGAAGGAUUGACGGUACCGGGAUAGAAAGCCACGGCUAACUACGUG
Molecule: ribosomal RNA, 510 nt
Filed under: uncultured bacterium
Lineage: Bacteria
Description: partial 16S ribosomal RNA
Rfam family: Bacterial small subunit ribosomal RNA
Source: RNAcentral